Molecule: ribosomal RNA, 497 nt
Filed under: uncultured bacterium
Lineage: Bacteria
Description: partial 16S ribosomal RNA
Rfam family: Bacterial small subunit ribosomal RNA
Source: RNAcentral
GUUGAACGCUGGCGGCGUGCCUAAUACAUGCAAGUCGAGCGAACAGACGAGGAGCUUGCUCCUCUGACGUUAGCGGCGGACGGGUGAGUAACACGUGGAUAGCCUACCUAUAAGACUGGGAUAACUUCGGGAAACCGGAGCUAAUACCGGAUAAUAUAUUGAACCGCAUGGUUCAAUAGUGAAAGACGGUUUUGCUGUCACUUAUAGAUGGAUCCGCGCCGCAUUAGCUAGUUGGUAAGGUAACGGCUUACCAAGGCAACGAUGCGUAGCCGACCUGAGAGGGUGAUCGGCCACACUGGAACUGAGACACGGUCCAGACUCCUACGGGAGGCAGCAGUAGGGAAUCUUCCGCAAUGGGCGAAAGCCUGACGGAGCAACGCCGCGUGAGUGAUGAAGGUCUUCGGAUCGUAAAACUCUGUUAUUAGGGAAGAACAAAUGUGUAAGUAACUAUGCACGUCUUGACGGUACCUAAUCAGAAAGCCACGGCUAACUACGUG